GACAGAGGCCCCAAGCGUUAGGCGGAAUCACUGGGCUUAAAGCGUGUGUAGGCGGAUCGUUAAGUGUCUUGUGAAAUCCCACGGCUCACCCGUGGAACUGCUCGGUAUACUGGGUCGCUUGAGCCACUUAGGGGCUACCGGAACAAAUGGUGGAGCGGUGAAAUGCGUAGAUAUCAUUUGGAACGCCAAUGGUGAAAACAGGUAGCUGGGCCGACACUGACACUGAGAGACGAAAGCUAGGGGAGCGAAUGGG
RNAcentral lists this ribosomal RNA (253 nucleotides) under uncultured bacterium. RNAcentral's name for it is "partial 16S ribosomal RNA". It matches the Rfam family "Bacterial small subunit ribosomal RNA", at positions 524 to 776 of the family's 1533-position model. The record is from RNAcentral.